Long non-coding RNA from Ostrea edulis (European flat oyster), 189 nucleotides. RefSeq lists it as uncharacterized. The transcript has 3 exons. The record is from RefSeq and is a predicted model, not a curated record. Lineage: Eukaryota; Metazoa; Mollusca; Bivalvia; Ostreida; Ostreidae.
CAGCGUUUUGUUUAAUCCAUGUAAAGUUCAUAUAUAGUGGUGGUAUUGAUAACACAUCGAAAGCAGAAAUCGAAUGCCCACCAGGAUACACGAACAACUGUACUUUCCCGUGUCGAUAUCCAAGCUUUGGUCCAGCUUGCCAAGAGAAAUGCAAUUGUAAGGAGUCAGAUUGUAGCAGCAAAACAGGGU